This 210-nucleotide long non-coding RNA is filed under the name Gallus gallus (chicken). The record is from RNAcentral. Lineage: Eukaryota; Metazoa; Chordata; Aves; Galliformes; Phasianidae.
GGAAGGAGAAGCAGCAGACUUAUCCAGAACAGAUAAAGAAGCCAUCCAAGGAAAAAUAGGUACAGAACUUUGUGCUAACAAGAUUGCUCACCCUUGCCCCUGCCAGACUUAAACUUCGUCAAUUAUUUCAAACACUGAAAACCAGGUUACUUCACUCCCAAAUGUCCACAUCUAGCAUCUUCUUGUAACAGUCCCUUCUCAGGUUGGUGG